This 849-nucleotide ribosomal RNA is filed under the name uncultured bacterium. Its description in RNAcentral is "bacterial SSU rRNA". It matches the Rfam family "Bacterial small subunit ribosomal RNA", at positions 56 to 904 of the family's 1533-position model. The record is from RNAcentral.
UGCAAGUCGAACGAGAAUCUACUGAAGGAGGAUUCGUCCAACGGAUGUAGAGGAAAGUGGCGGACGGGUGAGUAACGCGUGAGGAACCUGCCUUGAAGAGGGGGACAACAGUUGGAAACGACUGCUAAUACCGCAUGAAGCAUAGGGGUCGCAUGAUUCUUAUGCCAAAGAUUUAUCGCUUCAAGAUGGCCUCGCGUCUGAUUAGCUAGUUGGCGGGGUAACGGCCCACCAAGGCGACGAUCAGUAGCCGGACUGAGAGGUUGAACGGCCACAUUGGGACUGAGAUACGGCCCAGACUCCUACGGGAGGCAGCAGUGGGGAAUAUUGGGCAAUGGGCGCAAGCCUGACCCAGCAACGCCGCGUGAAGGAAGAAGGCUUUCGGGUUGUAAACUUCUUUUAAGAGGGAAGAGCAGAAGACGGUACCUCUAGAAUAAGCCACGGCUAACUACGUGCCAGCAGCCGCGGUAAUACGUAGGUGGCAAGCGUUGUCCGGAUUUACUGGGUGUAAAGGGCGUGCAGCCGGGUCUGCAAGUCAGAUGUGAAAUCCAUGGGCUCAACCCAUGAACUGCAUUUGAAACUGUAGAUCUUGAGUGUCGGAGGGGCAAUCGGAAUUCCUAGUGUAGCGGUGAAAUGCGUAGAUAUUAGGAGGAACACCAGUGGCGAAGGCGGAUUGCUGGACGAUAACUGACGGUGAGGCGCGAAAGUGUGGGGAGCAAACAGGAUUAGAUACCCUGGUAGUCCACACUGUAAACGAUGAAUACUAGGUGUGCGGGGACUGACCCCCUGCGUGCCGCAGUAAACACAAUAAGUAAUCCACCUGGGGAGUACGACCGCAAGGUUGAAACUCAA